AAUACCGCAUAAGCGCACACUGUCGCAUGACAGAGUGUGAAAAUUUCCGGAGGUAUACGAUGGACCCGCGUCUGAUUAGCCAGUUGGCAGGGUAACGGCCUACCAAAGCAACGAUCAGUAGCCGGCCUGAGAGGGUGGACGGCCACAUUGGGACUGAGACACGGCCCAAACUCCUGCGGGAGGCAGCAGUGGGGGAUAUUGCACAAUGGGGGAAACCCUGAUGCAGCGACGCCGCGUGAGUGAAGAAGCAUUUCGGUGUGUAAAGCUCUAUCAGCAGGGAAGAAGAAUGACGGUACCUGACUAAGAAGCCCCGGCUAACUACGUGCCAGCAGCCGCGGUAAUACGUAGGGGGCAAGCGUUAUCCGGAUUUACUGGGUGUAAAGGGAGCGUAGACGGCAAUGCAAGCCAGAUGUGAAAACCCGCAGCUCAACUGGGGGAGUGCAUUUGGAACUGUGUAGCUGGAGUGCAGGAGAGGUAAGCGGAAUUCCUGGUGUAGCGGUGAAAUGCGUAGAUAUCAGGAGGAACACCAGUGGCGAAGGCGGCUUACUGGACUGUAACUGACGUUGAGGCUCGAAAGCGUGGGGAGCAAACAGGAUUAGAUACCCUGGUAGUCCACGCUGUAAACGAUGAAUACUAGGUGUCGGGGGUUUACGGACGCCCGGUGCCGCAGC
Molecule: ribosomal RNA, 671 nt
Filed under: uncultured bacterium
Lineage: Bacteria
Description: bacterial SSU rRNA
Rfam family: Bacterial small subunit ribosomal RNA
Source: RNAcentral